Molecule: ribosomal RNA, 460 nt
Filed under: uncultured bacterium
Lineage: Bacteria
Description: partial 16S ribosomal RNA
Rfam family: Bacterial small subunit ribosomal RNA
Source: RNAcentral
CCUACGGGAGGCUGCAGUGAGGAAUAUUGGGCAAUGGGCGUAAGCCUGAACCAGCCAAGUCGCGUGAGGGAUGAAGGUUCUAUGGAUCGUAAACCUCUUUUAUAAGGGAAUGAAGUGUGGGAUGUGUCCUAUUUUGUAUGUACCUUAUGAAUAAGGAGCGGCUAACGCCGUGCCAGCAGCCGCGGUAAUACGGAGGAUCCGAGCGUUAUCCGGAUUUAUUGGGUUUAAAGGGUGCGUAGGCGGACUUUUAAGUCAGCGGUGAAAGUCUGUGGCUCAACCAUAGAACUGCCGUUGAAACUGGGGGGCUUGAGUAUGUUUGAGGCAGGCGGAAUGCGUGGUGUAGCGGUGAAAUGCUUAGAUAUCACGCAGAACCCCGAUGGCGAAGGCAGCCUGCCAAGCCAUGACUGACGCUGAUGCACGAAAGCGUGGGGAUCAAACAGGAUUAGAUACCCGAGUAGUC